Molecule: long non-coding RNA, 789 nt
Filed under: Homo sapiens (human)
Lineage: Eukaryota; Metazoa; Chordata; Mammalia; Primates; Hominidae
Description: non-protein coding lnc-MBD2-7:4
Source: RNAcentral
AGUCGCUCUGUGCCUCUCGCCUGCGCAGUCGUGGCCGACCAGCCUGUUGCCCAGAGUGACACGCAUGCCAAGGAAUCGUGGAGGCCCACGUGCGGGAGUUUUUUCCCGCCGGGUGGAGGCCGGAAGCGGAGAGAUUGAAAGCACAAAUGGCUAUUUUUUUUUUUUUUGAGACGGAGUUUCGUUCUUGUUGCUCAGGCUGGAGUGGGCAACAGUGACGCAAUACCGGCUCACUGCAACCUCUGCCUCCCGGAUUCAAGCGAUUCUCCUGCCUCAGCCUCCCAAGUAGCUGGGAUUAACAGGCAUGCGCCAUCACGCCCAGCUAAUUUUUUUGUAUUUAGUAGAGACGAGGUUUCACCAUGUUGGUCAGGCUGGUUUCGAACUCCUGUCCUCAGGUGAUCCACCCUCCUAGGCCUCCCAAAGUGUUGAGAUCACAGGCAUGAGCCACUGCGCCUGGCCUUUUUUUUUUUUUCUUGAAGGCUUUGGAGUUAGGCCCACAUCACAAAUUUUAGCGUUUUGUCUUUGUUCCAUUCGGCUGUUAGCAAACUUGCAAAUCCCUAGACCUGAGUGAUUAAUGUGAUGGGGUGGGAAGGAGUGUAACUGAUAGUAAAGACACAGGUGGCCUUGUAAACUCAUAUGAUUAGCAACUAUGUUAAGGUUUGCUGUGUUUUGUUUGUUGUUGUUUUAUUUAAAGACACUGUGACGAAUUCAACCACAGAAUUUUUAACAUCAAAACUGAAUAGGAUUUGAUACAUGAGUGUUGUAGUCAGACAAAAUCUCCAAUCCAGACCC